RNAcentral lists this unclassified non-coding RNA (18 nucleotides) under Chlamydomonas reinhardtii. RNAcentral describes it as "small RNA Cre_3872". The record is from RNAcentral. Lineage: Eukaryota; Viridiplantae; Chlorophyta; Chlorophyceae; Chlamydomonadales; Chlamydomonadaceae.
UUGAAGUCUGCAAUCGCU